Molecule: ribosomal RNA, 400 nt
Filed under: uncultured bacterium
Lineage: Bacteria
Description: bacterial SSU rRNA
Rfam family: Bacterial small subunit ribosomal RNA
Source: RNAcentral
AUUGAACGCUGGCGGCAUGCCUUACACAUGCAAGUCGAACGGCAGCACGGACUUCGGUCUGGUGGCGAGUGGCGAACGGGUGAGUAAUGUAUCGGAACGUACCUUUCAGUGGGGGAUAACGUAGCGAAAGUUACGCUAAUACCGCAUAUUCUGUGAGCAGGAAAGCAGGGGAUCGCAAGACCUUGCGCUGAUUGAGCGGCCGAUAUCAGAUUAGCUAGUUGGUGAGGUAAAGGCUCACCAAGGCGACGAUCUGUAGCGGGUCUGAGAGGAUGAUCCGCCACACUGGAACUGAGACACGGUCCAGACUCCUACGGGAGGCAGCAGUGGGGAAUUUGGACAAUGGGGGCAACCCUGAUCCAGCCAUGCCGCGUGAGUGAAGAAGGCCUUCGGGUUGUAAAGG